This 408-nucleotide ribosomal RNA is filed under the name uncultured bacterium. RNAcentral describes it as "partial 16S ribosomal RNA". It matches the Rfam family "Bacterial small subunit ribosomal RNA", at positions 28 to 526 of the family's 1533-position model. The record is from RNAcentral.
GACGAACGCUGGCGGCGUGCUUAACACAUGCAAGUCGAACGAAGUGGCGAACGGGUGAGUAAUACGUGAGUAACCUGCCCUCCUUUUUGGGAUAAGCCUUGGAAACGGGGUCUAAUACCGGAUAAAGGGGGAUGGGCUCGCGGCCUAUCAGCUUGUUGGUGGGGUGAUGGCCUACCAAGGCGGUGACGGGUAGCCGGCCUGAGGGGGUGACCGGCCACAAGGGGACUGAGAUACGGCCCAGACUCCUACGGGAGGCAGCAGUGGGGGAUAGUGCACAAUGGGCGAAAGCCGGAUGCAGCGACGCCGCGUGGGGGAUGAAGGCUUUCGGGUUGUAAACAGCUUUCAGCCAUGACGCGGUAGUGGCAGAAGAAGCACCGGCUAACUACGUGCCAGCAGCCGCGGUAAUAC